This 253-nucleotide ribosomal RNA is filed under the name uncultured bacterium. Its description in RNAcentral is "partial 16S ribosomal RNA". It matches the Rfam family "Bacterial small subunit ribosomal RNA", at positions 524 to 776 of the family's 1533-position model. The record is from RNAcentral.
UACAGGGGGUGCAAACGUUGCUCGGAAUCAUUGGGCGUAAAGCGCACGUAGGCGGUUCGUUAUGUCGGAUGUGAAAGCCCUUGGCUUAACCGAGGAAGUGCAUCCGAAACUGGCGAGCUAGAGUACGAAAGAGGAUCGCGGAAUUCCCGGUGUAGAGGUGAAAUUCGUAGAUAUGUGGAGGAACACCAGUGGCGAAGGCGACUCUCUGGUCUGUAACUGACGCUGAGGCGCGAAAGCGUGGGGAGCAAACAGG